UAUUCCAGGACAAGUAGGAGGAAAAAGA
RNAcentral lists this non-coding RNA (28 nucleotides) under Cricetulus griseus (Chinese hamster). Lineage: Eukaryota; Metazoa; Chordata; Mammalia; Rodentia; Cricetidae. The record is from RNAcentral.